RNAcentral lists this ribosomal RNA (512 nucleotides) under uncultured bacterium. RNAcentral's name for it is "partial 16S ribosomal RNA". It matches the Rfam family "Bacterial small subunit ribosomal RNA", at positions 28 to 507 of the family's 1533-position model. The record is from RNAcentral.
GAUGAACGCUGGCGGCGUGCCUAAUACAUGCAAGUCGAACGAAACUUCUUUAUCACUGUGUGCUUGCACUCACCGAUAAAGAGUUGAGUGGCGAACGGGUGAGUAACACGUUGGCAACCUGCCCAAAAGAGGGGGAUAACACUUGGAAACAGGUGCUAAUACCGCAUAACCAUCGUUACCGCAUGGUACCUAUGUAAAAGGUGGCUAUCCUACCGCUUUUGGAUGGGCCGGCGGCGCAUUAGCUAGUUGGUGGGGUAAAGGCUUACCAAGGCAAUGAUGCGUAGCGGAUGUGAGAGGAUGAUCGGCCAAAUUGGAACUGAGACAAGGCCCAAACUCCUACGGGAGGCAGCAGUGGGGAAUAUUGAACAAUGGGCGAAAGCCUGAUGAAGCAAGACCGCGUGGGGGAAGAAGGCCUUCGGGUUGUAAACCCCUUUUGUUGGGAAAGAAAGGCAGGAGGUUAAUAUCUCGCUGUUCUGACGGUACCAAAAGAAUAAGCACCGGCUAACUUCGUG